This 58-nucleotide transfer RNA is filed under the name Salmo trutta (river trout). It matches the Rfam family "tRNA", at positions 8 to 63 of the family's 71-position model. Rfam says of the family: Transfer RNA (tRNA) molecules are approximately 80 nucleotides in length. The record is from Rfam by way of RNAcentral. Lineage: Eukaryota; Metazoa; Chordata; Actinopteri; Salmoniformes; Salmonidae.
UGGCUCAGUUGGUAGAGCAUGGUGUUUGCAACGCCAGGAUUGUGGGUUUGAUUCCCAU